AGGGCUAACUUUCGCCACCUCUCCGCAAGGGUCAAGGUGACUCCCAGCGCUUCCAUCUGGAGAUGAUGAAACCAUUUAAGAGGCGUCAAGAUUUACCAAGUUCUUCCCUCUAGCUCUGGUUUCCUCAAAGAGAUCUUCAUGACUGCCAAGCAUCAUUACAAGAGGAGUAUUUAAAAAGAAGCUACACAUAGGGGAAUUGCCUGGCUCUGAG
Otolemur garnettii (small-eared galago) is the source of this 211-nucleotide long non-coding RNA. RefSeq lists it as uncharacterized. NCBI's taxonomy places the organism in Eukaryota, Metazoa, Chordata, Mammalia, Primates, Galagidae. The transcript is spliced from 3 exons. The record is from RefSeq and is a predicted model, not a curated record.